UCGAUAUGAUAACAUAAUUAUUACAAUUAGUUGUGAUUGCUAGCAUCAAUUUUGGAUAAUUCUUUAAUCAUUUGACGUUUUUGCAAAUCAAAUCUAAAGCCAUAAACUCCGACUCCAUUGUUAAAAUGUAGAAUAUAUAUUUGUUAAGUUGACAAAUACGACACCAUUCCUCUUAGUUAACAUAAUAUUUUUCACAUAUAAAGCUAUUGAUGUAAGCAAUUUCUAAUAGGUUCGUUAUUCAUCAUCAUCAUUAUCGGAGCUUUUUUCCAACUAUUUGGGGUUGGCUACAUGAAUCCUAAGCUGCCAUUCUACUCUAUCAAUUGUCAUACUUUCAAUGAGGCUAUAAGUCCCAAUUUCUUUUCUCAUUCCUUCUAACCAUAUCCUUUGGACCUACCUUUUUUCCUUUUUGAGCCUUCUACUUGAACUUACUCGCACCUCCUAAUAGGUAUCGUAUUAGGUCUGCGCUGCACAUGCCCAGACCCACUUAAGUCUACAUUCUUUCAUCUUAUUGCUUAUUGGAGAGCCAUACCUAAUCUCAUGAAUAUAAUCAUUUUGAAUUCUAUUCCUUC
This 569-nucleotide long non-coding RNA is filed under the name Amborella trichopoda. RNAcentral describes it as "long non-coding RNA (ATRI_LNC003745)". Lineage: Eukaryota; Viridiplantae; Streptophyta; Magnoliopsida; Amborellales; Amborellaceae. The record is from RNAcentral.